UACAGAGGAGCCAAGCGUUGUCCGGAUUGACUGGGCGUAAAGCGCACGCAGGCGGAUGCGCGCGUGGGGUGUGAAAUCUGGCCGCUUAACGGCCAGGCGCCAUCCCAUACGGCGCGUCUGGAGUGAUGCAGAGGUCGGUGGAAUUGCCGGUGUAGUGGUGAAAUGCGUAGAUAUGUGGAGGAACACCGAUGGCGAAGGCAGCCCCCUGGGUUAACACUGACGCUCAUGCACGAAAGCGUGGGGAGCAAACAGG
RNAcentral lists this ribosomal RNA (253 nucleotides) under uncultured bacterium. RNAcentral describes it as "partial 16S ribosomal RNA". It matches the Rfam family "Bacterial small subunit ribosomal RNA", at positions 524 to 776 of the family's 1533-position model. The record is from RNAcentral.